This is a non-coding RNA of Gasterosteus aculeatus aculeatus (three-spined stickleback), 170 nucleotides long. Lineage: Eukaryota; Metazoa; Chordata; Actinopteri; Perciformes; Gasterosteidae. The record is from RefSeq and is a predicted model, not a curated record.
AAACAUCCAUAACUUCUGCAACGCCCUUUGCUCUGAGUCUAGAAAGGUUGUCGGCUUGAUCGAAAACAAUGGGAAUGCCUACAAUUGGAACUCCAUGAUAUAUGGCCUCAUAUAUUCCAUUUGUUCCUCCGUGACUUACAAAUAGUUUAAUACUUUUAUGUCCCAGGAGG